This 408-nucleotide ribosomal RNA is filed under the name uncultured bacterium. RNAcentral describes it as "bacterial SSU rRNA". It matches the Rfam family "Bacterial small subunit ribosomal RNA", at positions 28 to 429 of the family's 1533-position model. The record is from RNAcentral.
GAUGAACGCUGGCGGCGUGCCUAAUACAUGCAAGUCGAACGAGGUGCUUGAGUAGCAAUACGAGAGUAUCCUAGUGGCGAACGGGUGAGUAACGCGUUGGUGACCUACCCCAAAGUGUGGGAUAACAGUCCGAAAGGAUUGCUAAUACCGCAUGUGGUUAUCGGAUUUAGAAACUGAUAUCUAAAGGAGCAAUUCGCUUUGGGAGGGACCUGCGUCCCAUCAGCUAGUUGGUGAGGUAAUGGCUCACCAAGGCUACGACGGGUAGGGGACCUGAGAGGGUGACCCCCCACAAUGGAACUGAAACACGGUCCAUACACCUACGGGUGGCAGCAGUAGGGAAUAUUGCUCAAUGGGCGAAAGCCCUGAAGCAGCAACGCCGCGUGUGCGAUGAAGGCCUUCGGUCGUAAG